Molecule: long non-coding RNA, 599 nt
Organism: Prunus persica (peach)
Lineage: Eukaryota; Viridiplantae; Streptophyta; Magnoliopsida; Rosales; Rosaceae
Exons: 2
Source: RefSeq, a predicted model, not a curated record
AGAACGAUGAAAGGAAGCAACCACUUAUAGUCUUGGCUAAACAUUAUUUGCUAAACAAAUAAGAUUCACAAGAAAUUUGUGCAACCAGAUUUUAUAAGUAGCAGAGAAGUGCGAAGUCAACUAGGACUAAUGGAAGAUGAGAUCCAGCAGCUCAUUGCAUGUGGAAACAAUAUCAUAAAUAUAAGCUCAAGGGAGCAUGCCAUUCAUGAGAAAUUGGCUCUCAAAGUCAAUGUUUCAAUGAAUAGGAAGAGGAAAUGCUACAAAUGGUCCCUUUGAGUUUGCAUGCCAAUCAUCUGCAUGUCCCUCAUUUUGAAACUCGUAAAGUUUCCUAGUGUGCAAGAAAAGGCAAACGAGAGAGAGAGAGAGAGAGAGAGAGAGAGAGAGAGAGAGAUGUUCCAGCUAAAUGUAGCUUUUGAAAUUUUGCAGAGAGCAGUAGAACUAAUGUACAAAAAAGGGCAUGUGGUAGAAUUUUGUCUCCUCAUAAAUUUUUUAAAUAAGGAGAUGAAAUGCGUGAGAUUUCCAUCAAACUUCCUUAACAUGAGAAUUUUAUUUAAUUACAUUCCAAACAAAAAUGGUCCAUUAAACACUAAGAACCCCAA